GCAAUAAUUUUGAAGAGCAGAAAAUGCAGCACAAGAAUCUCCCAGAAACAUGAUGAUGCUUGAUCUGAUCUGUCGCCUCUGCCUGCUUCCCAUGAUUUUUCCCACAGUUGUAAAAGGUCUUUGAAUGUCCGGGACACUUACAAGUUGAUAAAAAAAAGCCUCUCAGCUUUAACAUCAGGCAAGGCUGCAGCCCUGGUGGGACACAAGGCUGGAUGAGUUGGUUGAUGGAAAUUCAUGAAGGGAUUUGUGAGACAAAGUCACGACGAAUAAUAAC
Mobula hypostoma (lesser devil ray) is the source of this 274-nucleotide long non-coding RNA. RefSeq lists it as uncharacterized. The record is from RefSeq and is a predicted model, not a curated record. The transcript is spliced from 3 exons. Lineage: Eukaryota; Metazoa; Chordata; Chondrichthyes; Myliobatiformes; Myliobatidae.